GAUGAAGAACGCAGUGAAAUGCGAUAAGUAAUGUGAAUUGCAGAAUUCAGUGAAUCAUCGAAUCUUUGAACGCACCUUGCGCUCUUUGGUAUUCCGAAGAGCAUGCCUGUUUGAGUGUCAUGAAAAUAUCAACCUUGACUUGGGUUUUGUGCUCUAGUCUCGGCUUGGAAUUGGGUGCUUGCCGCUUUUACGAGCGGCUCACCUUAAAUGUAUUAGCUGGAUCUGUCUUUGAGACUUGGUUUGACUUGGCGUAAUAAGUAUUUCGCUAAGGACAUUCUUCGGAGUGGCCUCGUUUCUAGGACGCUUGUCCGCUUUCCAAUACAAGUUCCACCUCGUGGACAUGACUUUUUAUUAUCUGGCCUCAAAUCAGGUAGGACUACCCGCUGAACUUAAGCAUAUCAUAAGCGGAGGA
This 412-nucleotide unclassified non-coding RNA is filed under the name soil metagenome. Its description in RNAcentral is "partial contains 5.8S ribosomal RNA, internal transcribed spacer 2, and large subunit ribosomal RNA". The stretch from base 1 to 120 matches the Rfam family "5.8S ribosomal RNA", at positions 35 to 154 of the family's 154-position model. The record is from RNAcentral.